Long non-coding RNA from Canis lupus familiaris (dog), 647 nucleotides. RefSeq lists it as uncharacterized. The transcript has 2 exons. Lineage: Eukaryota; Metazoa; Chordata; Mammalia; Carnivora; Canidae. The record is from RefSeq and is a predicted model, not a curated record.
GGGCCUCGUGCUCAGAGGGGACGGGUGGACGCUGCACAGCAGUGUGCUCGUCACCUUUACUGAGCGCUUCUCCUGACCCCUGUCCCAAGACAGGUCAAGGGCAAAAUCAGCCUGGCCAGCCUCCCAGCUAUUCCUGAGUCAGGAGCAGGAAAGGGGGGCCGAGUGUGGGGGGACAAGCCUGAGGAAAGCUACCUCCCUCUCCUCUUCAAAGCACAGAGCCAGGAUGCACCUGAGCAGAAGAGAAAGCCUCUCAGGCUGAACUGGAACACUGACCAGAAGAUGUACGUGCCACCCAUCAGUGGUUCUCAAAAGUGAGCGUCAGAACCCCCUGCGGGGUUCGGGGAACACAGAGGGCCGACCCCAGCCCGGAAUUUCAGAUUCAAGAAGUCUGGAGUGAGUCCCCAGGUGCCGCUGACCACACUUGGAGGACCUCAGUGGCAGGUCAGCAAGACCGAGGAGGGAUGACCAAGAGUCCUAGAUUAACAGAAUUCUAUCCUUUCGGAGAUGGAGAUCAUCUACAGGUGAACCAUCCAACUCGCCAGGUGGACAACCCUAGGGUUUUUGAGUGGAUGCCAUACAUGUGUGGUUCCAUUCACAUAUUAGAGAAAUAAACUAUACAGCUCUCCUGCAAGGGGAAACAUUUUAAA